This is a long non-coding RNA of Parasteatoda tepidariorum (common house spider), 281 nucleotides long. NCBI's taxonomy places the organism in Eukaryota, Metazoa, Arthropoda, Arachnida, Araneae, Theridiidae. The record is from RefSeq and is a predicted model, not a curated record.
AUGCAGUGUCAAGUGAUAAGUCUUCAAACCACUUGAUCUGCAAUCGCUACCAAAGCAUCCAUGUCUUAGGGACAUCAAUGUUGAGGUGUGAGGAACUAUGGAUGGCAUAGCCGUAAACACCAAAAUUUUUGCGUCUAUUACAUAUUAGAGGUGCUUUGUUAGAAUAAAUCCAGUGUCUGGCUCCAAAGUAGAAAGGGAAAAGAUUGUUUAUCAGAAAUUCACCCAAAGAUUUUAAGCUUUCUAUCUUUGACAGUUGGCUGAAAGAUUGUCGACAUUAAUAA